Molecule: long non-coding RNA, 336 nt
Filed under: Physcomitrium patens
Lineage: Eukaryota; Viridiplantae; Streptophyta; Bryopsida; Funariales; Funariaceae
Description: long non-coding RNA (PPAT_LNC010812)
Source: RNAcentral
GAAUUUUGGACUUUUUUCAUUUUUACAGUAUAUAAAGAGAAGAUGCCUUAGAAAAAAUUAUUGAAAACUAGUACUAUAAUAUGUGGAGUAAUAAGUUGAAAAGAUCAUAUAGAGGUUCUUUCAAUUUAUUAUAUAUUGCUAAGAAGCCUUGAUAGAAAAAAAGAGAAGAUUUUUUUUUUGAUGAUGCAAGAAAAGAAAUAUUUUUUAAGAAGCAAACCUUGAAGAAACAAGGCUUGUGAGACGACUUGACAAGAAUUUUCAACAAAAAAUAUUUCAACAAUAUUUUUAAAAAAUAAAGAUAAAUUAAUAAAUUAUUUUUUUAUAUUGAUGUAAUAA